GACGAACGCUGGCGGCGUGCUUAACACAUGCAAGUCGAACGGAAAGGCCCUGCUUUUGUGGGGUGCUCGAGUGGCGAACGGGUGAGUAACACGUGAGUAACCUGCCCUUGACUUUGGGAUAAAUUCAGGAAACUGGGGCGAAUACCGGAUAGGAGCUCCUGCUGCAUGGGGGGGGAUGGAAAGUUUCGGCGGUUGGGGAUGGACUCGCGGCUUAUCAGCUUGUUGGGGGGGUAGUGGCUUACCAAGGCUUUGACGGGUAGCCGGCCUGAGAGGGUGACCGGCCACAUGGGGACUGAGAUACGGCCCAGACUCCUACGGGAGGCAGCAGUGGGGAGUAUUGCACAAUGGGCGGAAGCCUGAUGCAGCAACGCCGCGUGCGGGAUGACGGCCUUCGGGUUGUAAACCGCUUUCGCCUGUGACGAAGCGUGAGUGACGGUAAUGGGUAAAGAAGCACCGGCUAACUACGUG
This 468-nucleotide ribosomal RNA is filed under the name uncultured bacterium. RNAcentral describes it as "partial 16S ribosomal RNA". It matches the Rfam family "Bacterial small subunit ribosomal RNA", at positions 28 to 507 of the family's 1533-position model. The record is from RNAcentral.